This 486-nucleotide ribosomal RNA is filed under the name uncultured bacterium. RNAcentral describes it as "partial 16S ribosomal RNA". It matches the Rfam family "Bacterial small subunit ribosomal RNA", at positions 30 to 507 of the family's 1533-position model. The record is from RNAcentral.
AUUGAACGCUGGCGGCAUGCCUUACACAUGCAAGUCGAACGGCAGCACGGGUGCUUGCACCUGGUGGCGAGUGGCGAACGGGUGAGUAAUACAUCGGAACAUGUCCUGUAGUGGGGGAUAGCCCGGCGAAAGCCGGAUUAAUACCGCAUACGAUCUACGGAUGAAAGCGGGGGACCUUCUGGCCUCGCGCUUUAGGGUUGGCCGAUGGGUGAUUAGCUAGUUGGUGGGGUAAAGGCCUACCAAGGCGACGAUCAGUAGCUGGUCUGAGAGGACGACCAGCCACACUGGGACUGAGACACGGCCCAGACUCCUACGGGAGGCAGCAGUGGGGAAUUUUGGACAAUGGGCGAAAGCCUGAUCCAGCAAUGCCGCGUGUGUGAAGAAGGCCUUCGGGUUGUAAAGCACUUUUGUCCGGAAAGAAAACCUUGGCCCUAAUACGGUCGGGGGAUGACGGUACCGGAAGAAUAAGCACCGGCUAACUACGUG